GACGAACGCUGGCGGCAUGCCUAAUACAUGCAAGUCGAACGAACCAAACUGAAGAUUGAUGCUUGCAUCAUGAUUCAGACCUUGGUGAGUGGCGGACGGGUGAGUAACACGUGGGUAACCUGCCCAAAAGUGGGGGAUAACAUUUGGAAACAAGUGCUAAUACCGCAUAACAACUACUUUCACAUGAUCGUAGCUUGAAAGAUGGCUCUGCUAUCGCUUUUGGAUGGACCCGCGGCGUAUUAGCUAGUUGGUGAGGUAAUAGCUCACCAAGGCAAUGAUACGUAGCCGACCUGAGAGGGUAAUCGGCCACAUUGGGACUGAGACACGGCCCAAACUCCUACGGGAGGCAGCAGUAGGGAAUCUUCCACAAUGGGCGAAAGCCUGAUGGAGCAAUGCCGCGUGAGUGAAGAAGGUUUUCGGAUCGUAAAACUCUGUUGUUGAAGAAGAACAUGCGUGAGAGUAACUGUUCACGUACUGACGGUAUUCAACCAGAAAGC
Molecule: ribosomal RNA, 497 nt
Filed under: uncultured bacterium
Lineage: Bacteria
Description: bacterial SSU rRNA
Rfam family: Bacterial small subunit ribosomal RNA
Source: RNAcentral